GGCCAGGCCCUAUGCAAUGUCGGGCGAGUGAACUCCGCCAGGACCGGAAGGUAGCAACGGCAACUACGUUUCACAUGUGCCGUAGGUAGUCUGGCCACU
Molecule: signal recognition particle RNA, 99 nt
Filed under: Verrucomicrobiota bacterium
Lineage: Bacteria; Pseudomonadati; Verrucomicrobiota
Description: Verrucomicrobia bacterium signal recognition particle sRNA small type
Rfam family: Bacterial small signal recognition particle RNA
About the family: The signal recognition particle (SRP) is a universally conserved ribonucleoprotein involved in the co-translational targeting of proteins to membranes. Archaeal SRP consists of a 7S RNA and homologues of the eukaryotic SRP19 and SRP54 proteins.
Source: RNAcentral